AUUGAACGCUGGCGGCAUGCUUUACACAUGCAAGUCGAACGGUAACGCGCCGCUAGGUGCGGACGCGUGGGGCGCGGGUGAGUGAUUCACAGGAAAGUGCCCAGUCCUGGGGGAUAACUAAACUAAAGAGUAGCUAAUAUCGCACACGAUCUAUGGUUGUGAGCGGGGGAGCGUGAUGGCUCGCGCGAGUGGAGCGGGCGAGGUCGGAUGAGUUAGUUGGUGGGGUAAAGGCUCACCAAGGCAACGAUCUGUAGCUGUACUGAGAGGACGAGCAGCCACACUGGGACUGAGACACGGCCCAGACUCCUACGGGAGGCAGCAGUGGGGAAUUUUGGACAAUGGGCGCAAGCCUGAUCCAGCAAUGCCGCGUGUGGGAAGAAAGCCUUCGGGUUGUAAAGUGCUUUUGUACGGAACGAAACGGCUCUGGUUAAUACCCGGCGUGAAUGACGGUACCGUAAGAAUAAGCACCGGCUAACUACGUG
RNAcentral lists this ribosomal RNA (482 nucleotides) under uncultured bacterium. RNAcentral's name for it is "partial 16S ribosomal RNA". It matches the Rfam family "Bacterial small subunit ribosomal RNA", at positions 29 to 507 of the family's 1533-position model. The record is from RNAcentral.